AUUGAACGCUGGCGAAAUGCUUUACACAUGCAAGUCGAACGGCAGCACGGACUUCGGUCUGGUGGCGAGUGGCGAACGGGUGAGUAAUGUAUCGGAACGUGCCCAGUCGUGGGGGAUAACGUAGUGAAAAUUACGCUAAUACCGCAUACGAUCUAUGGAUGAAAGCGGGGGAUCGCAAGACCUCGCGCGAUUGGAGCGGCCGAUAUCAGAUUAGGUAGUUGGUGGGGUAAAGGCCCACCAAGCCAACGAUCUGUAGCUGGUCUGAGAGGACGACCAGCCACACUGGAACUGAGACACGGUCCAGACUCCUACGGGAGGCAGCAGUGGGGAAUUUUGGACAAUGGGCGAAAGCCUGAUCCAGCCAUUCCGCGUGCAGGAUGAAGGCCCUCGGGUUGUAAACUGCUUUUGUACAGAGCGAAAAGGUUUCUACUAAUACUAGGAGCUCACGACGGUACUGUAAGAAUAAGCACCGGCUAACUACGUGCCAGCCGCCGCAGUAA
Molecule: ribosomal RNA, 500 nt
Filed under: uncultured bacterium
Lineage: Bacteria
Description: partial 16S ribosomal RNA
Rfam family: Bacterial small subunit ribosomal RNA
Source: RNAcentral